UGUUUCUAGGUACAUCUACAUGAGCAUUUCAGCUGUGGUCAUCAGUACUUUUAUGAAGCAUGCAGUUCCAGCACGCAUUGCUGCAUGGCCUCAGAAGCUGGAUUUGGGGCAAGGUGAACCGGGAGAUGCCCUGUUUUACCCACCGCAGCACAGUGAGCCCAAGUGAUGGGAAGAGAGUUUGAAUGGAAGCCACUGUCUGGAGCACUGCUGUGGUAUCAAUCCAUUACCCCUGCCUCUGCAUACUGCAGAUUGCAGAAUUUCAUUCGCUAAGACCUGUGUGGAGCCUGAUAACUUUUGUUUAACUACAUAAAUCCAUAAAAGUGUUUAUUCUUGACUUGAAGACACAAAUAACCUAUUGCUUUCCUGGGCCAUUUCUCCUAUUGUUUGACUACCUUUGUAUUGAAAAAGAAAUCUGCAUUUUAAUCUUAAACAUAAUUUUGUUUCAGGAGCAGCUUCACUGGAAGUUAUUAUGCUCCUUCUUUUGAACCAAAUGUUUUUUUAGUGAACCAAACCCUCUCUGCUUGUGGAUCUUAAUAUACCUUUGCAGUUCAAUAAGUGGUUCGACUUCUGUCAACUUCAGCCUGCCAGAUCAUUUCUCGGUCCCCAAAAUCAUGGAUCCUCUUUGCUGCGCGUGUUAGAAGAGAAGAGCUCUGCAAGGUCCGGGAGCAGGCUGCCGUCGAAGGCAUGAGGAAAAUGGCAUCGAAAGAGGUAUUGGGAGUAACUGCUGAAGUCUCUAGUGCUACAGCAAUGAAAUACUGGAAUUGGGUGUCUGAAAUAAAUCUGUUUCAACUGAGCUCUGGCUCAAAAGCAGGUUACUGUGGCUUAAUGAAUUAUCCUGUGUUCGCUGAACAACAUGUGUCCUUACAUAAAAGAAAACCAUACUGUCUGAGUCGUGUGGCUACAGCUGAGGACCGAGGCUGCUGUAACAGUGGUGACAGAGCUGCGAACAAAAGUUCCAAGGAAAUAGAAGCUUCAGAGAAGGCUGUUGGCAGGUACCUUGAUGUUCUGGUCUCCCAAGACCACUUGGUCGUGGCUAUACAUGCCUGUGUUUCCUCAUUCUCUCAACAUUGCCUUCUCCCAUAUAUAUAUAUAUAUAUAUGUAUGUAUGUAUGUAUGUAUUAUUUUUUGCUACUGAUUGUCAUCAGGAUUAAUUUCCCCCAGUCACAGAAUCACAGAGAUGACAGUGUUAGGGAUGGGAAGGGGCCUUGAAAAAUCACGUAGACCAGUCCCCAAGCUAGAGCAGGAGAGAAGCAGAACUUUCAGUUCUGAUAGUUUGUGACUGUUUAACACAGGCAGGCAGCUAUACUGUGGGGCAAAUGUUAAGUGCAAUUUCAGUCAACCUGAAGCUGAGUUUGGGUUUGUUUUUCUUUGAACUAGAUACACAAAAUUCUAGAGCAAAUAACCUGCUGGGAAGUUUAGCAGUUAGCAUAUUUACUCAGUCUCAGCAAGUCUUAGGUUGGUUUCUAGCUUGCUGGGAAUCCUCCUUUUCCUGUCCCUACCAGAGGAAUUCAUUUUCCUAAGGCAAGGUGUCCUCGCUCUGUCUCUUUGGCGUUGUUUCUUCAGUAAAUCAGCGGGCAGUCAUUGCAGUCGGUGCAUUCAGCGACGUGUCCUACUCACACUGCAGCGAAUCCUUCCCAUGCCCUCUCUCUCUGCACGCUUUUUUCCAUCACGCUGCCUGGCACAGUGGCCAGAGGUGGUGGAGAAGACUCUCUCCAGUGGCCCCUUGCAGAAGAGGGCCGUCAUUCACACAGUGGUUAAAGCAGGCUCCCAGCCUUAAAUCAGGCAGCAGGUUUCCCUGAUCCACUUUAUUAAAGGUAGUAUUGCCUUUUCUUUACACGCGAGCACGCGGAACAAAACAUUUCAUUUCCAAGCAAAUGGAAUGUCAAGUGAAAUGAUGUGGUGGGGGGAUUCAGUUCUGCAGAGAUAAAAUAAAUAAAUAAAGUUCGAUCCA
This 1951-nucleotide long non-coding RNA is filed under the name Anas platyrhynchos platyrhynchos (common mallard). Its description in RNAcentral is "lncRNA (ENSAPLG00000029336.1)". Lineage: Eukaryota; Metazoa; Chordata; Aves; Anseriformes; Anatidae. The record is from RNAcentral.